This is a long non-coding RNA of Elgaria multicarinata webbii, 3753 nucleotides long. RefSeq lists it as uncharacterized. The transcript is spliced from 2 exons. NCBI's taxonomy places the organism in Eukaryota, Metazoa, Chordata, Lepidosauria, Squamata, Anguidae. The record is from RefSeq and is a predicted model, not a curated record.
AGCAGUGGAAUCUGUGAAGCAAAAUGUGAUGCUGUCCUCGCUCCUUGGUCCUCACACAACUCCCCCGGUGGGCCCUCUGUGCAAGGCCUGGUGUCAAAGAAAUUCAGAAUUGCUGAUGAUCUUUUUGAGCACAAUCCAGCACCACUGAAACUGAUGGAAUGGGACGUGAAACUGACGAUGGGACAUGAAACUGAUGGAAUGGGACGUGAAACUGACAGAAUGGGACGUGAAACUGAUGGAAUGGGACUUGAAACUGACAGAAUGGGACAUGAAACUGACGAUGGGACAUGAAACUGACGGAAUGGGACAUGAAACUGACAGAAUGGGACGUGAAACUGAUGGAAUGGGACGUGAAACUGACGAUGGGACGUGAAACUGAUGGAAUGGGACUUGAAACUGACGAUGGGACAUGAAACUGAUGGAAUGGGACUUGAAACUGACAGAAUGGGACGUGGUUGCAACCAUCAUAAAUCCCAAAGGAAUUUAGUCACAAUUAAGUGAGUUUGAGUCAUGGUUGUUGGUUAUUUUUUUCUUUGGGUGUUGCUUCUGUUAACCCCUUUGCCAUAUCCCCCCCACUCUCCUUUUUUGUUUGUUGGAACAGGAAAUUGAACGUUAAUUUUCAACCAUAGAGACGGAAAUAAAUAAAAUGUAAACCCACUUCCUGCUACCAUUUGAAAGCCACCGUUUUGGUGGUGGCAACAGGAUGCAGACAGGGGGAGUCACUCUAGCCCCCGCAUCUCUAUGAGCCAACACUCACCAUUGGUCGCCACCCAAAAUGGACAUGUGUCCGUUGGAAGCCAAAAGAGCCAAUCACAUUGCGCUGGGGCAGUUGAGCCCCUCUGCAUUGCCACGUGAGGGCGCCAUUUUAAGAGUGAAGAACCACAGACCAAGUCCGGGCAACGGUCACCUAUGAUGGUGAAGAUUCCGCAUCAAAACUAACCCUUUGAAGUAGCCUUCCCCGCCAUGGCACUCUCCAGGGGUGUUGAACUACAAUUCCCAUCAAUACCCCGACACCAGCAUGGCCUAUGCGUAGUUCAACACAUUUGGAGGGUGUUGGCUUUGAGGCCACCCUGUAUUAUAUUAUUCCAUCAGCUGACUGCUGCAUCUCUUUGCCCAGGGAUUAGCUGCAACCAGUCAGGAAAAAGGAAAAGAGCACCCAGCUUUACGGACUUCUUCAAGAAGGUAGAACUGGGGAAGUGGCAGAGAGGGUUUGCUUGGCAUGGAAAAGGCCCUGGGUUUGACCCCUGGCAUCUCCCGCUAAGAAGCCUUGCGGAAGAUCGUUCUCUGAAGAGGCAGCCCUGGACCACAUGGGCGAAUGGGCUGGCUCUGGGCCAAGCCACUUCCUACGUUCACAUGACUGGUGGGGUUUCCAACCCCUGCGGCUUCCAGCAGGACUGAGGAGGGCAAAUGGGUGGAGCUCCUGCGCAAAGAAAUGAUUGUCAUACCAAGCAGAAAUGUGCAAAAAGAAGCCACCACGAGGCCCGUCGUGUUGCAGGGUGGGUUUUAGAAACGGGGAUUUGGGUCCUACCGGGGGUGGGGGAGGAAGUGCUUGCAGGAUACUGCAGAGGGAGGGUCUGUCUCUAGUUCCUUUUGGUUGAAGGAAGGGAGGAUUUAAAGUGGAUUUCCUGCACUGAGCAGGGGAUUGGACUUGAUGGCCUUAUAGGCCCCUUCCAACUCUACUAUAUGAGUCUAAGACCUCUAGGACAGCUAUUCCCAGACUCCAUGGUAGGAUGGCAACGACCUCAAAAGACCAAGGGCGUCAUCCUAUGCAUGUUUAGACAGGAGAAAAGUCCUACAACUCCCAGCAUCCUUAUUGAUCCCUGACCUCUCUCAUGGCUAUGGGUGAUGAUACGGCUGCAUCAAGAUCUAUUGAUGCAGCUCUAUUGCUGUCACGCCCCACCAUUUUUCUACCUGAACUCAGAGAAGGAGGACCCAAUCAAUGGUCCCAACACUUGUAGGGUUCAAGGGGACACCCCCUCCCCAAAGAUGCCCUGCGUGGGGAGGUUGCCAAUUCAGGGGAUAUGACACACCCCGACUGCCCCCUCCAGCUCCAAACCUUCCAAGAUCACAUUUGGGAUACCAAGGACAGAGAGUCCGUGGAAACCUGGCUGGAAAGAGGAGGAAGAGGAGGAGGCCAGGUCCCACACAUGCUUUGGAUCAGGGCCCUGCUGACACUCCAGGAAAAAGGGGAGAGCUGAUAAUUUGGAGCCUCCUGGUCCAUUCCUCAGCAAGGAACUGGACUGCAUAGUAGCGGCGGUGAAUACAGGCCUCGAAAGCAAGUCCAAGAGGCCAUAUUACCAACUGGGCCAUCCCAUAAUUGUCAGGAAGUUCCUGCUCCUGGGGAGCAGAUCCAACAAUAUGUUUCUCUGUGUAAAAGCGCCUUAGGUUUCAAAUGUCUGGAGUAAUACUAUAUCAGAACAGCUGGAUUCCCAACCGAGCGCCUCCCAGAUGUGUUGGCAGUACCAAGAUGGCCCGGUCAGCAUGGUCCAACACAUCUGGAGAUGCUGGUGGAGGCAUGCUGGCACAUGUAGUCCAAUGCAUCUUCAGGGCAUCAGGUUGGGAGAAGGUUCCUCUGGAGGCAGGUGGAAUCGGACCUUUUCUGAGGUGGGGCAGUUCACUUUGGCACGUCAGAUCGUGGCGUGGGAGUGUGAAAAGAAACCUCUUUAGAGUAUACGACCCUCUCCGUGGCUUGGACCUCACAAACCUCUUGUCUAAGAAAAAUCCCGGCCAUCACAACUAAGGUUGUACUGAAGUAAAUGAAAUGGGGAAAGGUACAGACUGAGAAGGGGGGUGGGGAAGGAGAGACUUAUAGGGAGGUCUCUGCCAUAAGGCAGGUGCCUCAGGCAGCUGGCUUUGGGCGCCUUGAAAAAGAAGCAAAUCGUUAGUUAUUAUUAUUUUAUCUUUACUACUAAGGGGUGUGCUAAAAUCACUUGACCAGGCUGGGUUCCUAUACACCUUGUGGAGGGGCUGGGGCAAAUGUCUUUAAUUACAGUUCUACAUCUGAUAUUGUCAGGCCACUUUCUUAAAAAGAUGGGAGGGGGGAAGAAAAGAGAAGGGUUUUAAGGCCAGCGGCCACCUAAGCUAAUCUUCAGAGAGGUUCCUCCUCAAAGGUAGCUUGGCAUCAGGCACCCAUGGGUACCAAUAAGACAAUGGAACCAGUGACCUAGGGAGGUUGUGGGCUCUCCCACAUUAGAGGCCUUCAAGAGGCAGCUGUCAGGGAUGCUUUAGGGUGGAUUUCUGCACUGAGCAGGGGGUUGGACUUGAUGGCCUUGUAGGCCCCUUCCAACUCUACGAUUCUAUGAUUCUAUGACUUAAGAGGGAAUGGCAGGUACUCCUUCUAAGCCAAGAAACUUUCUCCCAGUUUCUCAUUUUCCCCCCAUCUUAAAUUUGGUUCGCCCCAAACUUUUGAGAAUUUCCCCAACAUUUUUAAAGUUUGCAUCAAAGUGAACUUUGGCAGUGGGGGGGGGAAUUGCAUGGAAAUUUGUAGGCAUCAUUGUGUGCGUUUCUGCUAAUACCUGUAUUUUUGUAUACAGCAUUGCCUAAUAUACCCGGGGGGGGGGGGGAGUGCAAGAAAUUUUCCUAAUAGAAUGCUUUUUGAAAUAUUCUCCCUAACAUACCAUUUCUUAGUAUCCAGUUUGGAUGGGCGAACGCCAUUGCAAAAUUUUGGAAAUGUGUGAAUUUUGAAAGAGAACCAAGUUUCAGUUCACGCUUUGGUUCGAAUUGUGUUUUCCAUUAAAAUGCCAACUGAACUAA